RNAcentral lists this long non-coding RNA (722 nucleotides) under Scleropages formosus (Asian bonytongue). RNAcentral describes it as "lncRNA (ENSSFOG00015029730.1)". Lineage: Eukaryota; Metazoa; Chordata; Actinopteri; Osteoglossiformes; Osteoglossidae. The record is from RNAcentral.
CUCCUUGGCUCUUUGUGUUUGCGGUUUAGGACUCAGUUGUUUACUGACAUAAGUGGACUUGGUUGUCUCUGAGUACAGUGGUGUGUUUUUGACGCUCAUCCAUCAUCUCUCAGGGCAGUCAAGGCCUUCCGGGACUAGCAGGCCCAACAGGACCACCCGGACCCCCAGGCUUUCAGGGGAGGCCUGGACCACCGGGGCCUCCAGGGCCCAAGGGUAACAUGGGCCUGAACUUCCAAGGAGAGAAGGGGAAGAAGGUAGGAACGGCGCUGUUGCGCAGCCCACUCGGCGCUCACAUUCUCACGUGCGCCGUUGUAACCGAUGCUGCUUUGUGCGUCUUCAUGUACGUGCAGGGUGAACAAGGAAUGCGUGGGCAACCGGGGCCCCCCGGCCUCAUUCGUGAGCAGAAGCAAGCGAGGGAUUCGGAGGUGCGGAGGGGAAACAAGGGGGAUCAGGGACCACCUGGUCCACCUGGGAAACCUGGGGUUCCUGGGCCUCUCGGUCCUCCCGGUGGUCCGAAGGGUGAGAAGGGGGAGCCUGGGGAACCAGGCAAGAGGGUAAGUGGCGCUCAUACGUUCCUGAUGCCCAUGGCUGAGGCAAACCAACCCGCAAGCCUGCGUCCUCCCGCGUGCACCGAGAAACUGCUCUUCGGGACCCCGAACUGCGAAAGAUGCGUGACGUUAACUAGGCGUUUUGCUACAGGCAGUAGGGCUCUGUUCCGAUGA